This 529-nucleotide long non-coding RNA is filed under the name Rattus norvegicus (Norway rat). Its description in RNAcentral is "long non-coding RNA NONRATT021044". Lineage: Eukaryota; Metazoa; Chordata; Mammalia; Rodentia; Muridae. The record is from RNAcentral.
GAACAUGGCGGAUAGACUCACGCAACUGCAGGACGCUGUGAACUCGGCUGCUAGCUUAUAUAAGCUAGAAGAAGAAAAUCACGAAGCUGCUACGUGUCUAGAGGAUGUUGUUUAUCGGGGAGACAUGCUUCUGGAGAAGAUCCAAAGUGCACUUGCUGACAUUGCACAGUCACAGCUGAAGACCAGAAGUGUUACCCAUAGUCAGUCUCUCCCAGACUCAUAGCAUCAAUGGCUGAGAUGUGACGGAGAAGAGAACUGUUUGAAUGGCAUUAAGAAUGCCGCAUCAGAUGGAAGCCCUACGGACAGCUGUAGAACAUCAUAUGCUAUGACGGUGUUGCCUUUUUAAGCUAGUUUUCAUUGUUUGCUGUUUUCACUCUUGAUAAGUAAAAGACUUUACAAUUAUAACGGAAUCAUCUUCAAACAUCAUUAUGCCAUCGUUUUUUAUCUGACUAGAAUUUUCAGGACAGAUACUGUACUAAGGUUCAUGAUAUAAUUAAACAGAUAUACAAUAAAGCUCUUUGCUGUUUUG